Molecule: long non-coding RNA, 875 nt
Filed under: Ursus maritimus (polar bear)
Lineage: Eukaryota; Metazoa; Chordata; Mammalia; Carnivora; Ursidae
Description: lncRNA (ENSUMAG00000004729.1)
Source: RNAcentral
AUGUUCCUGACACUCCAUUUUGUAAACAGAUUUUUUUAUUUUUUUGGUUAAAGGACGUCUAAACAUGCCGAGUGAGAUGGAUGGACCGCCACUCUGCUCUUUCAUUUUCUCCUCUCUGACUCCGGGAGUGUGCGGCCCGGCCAAUGGCAGCGCCUCCCGCCGCCGACCCUGGGGGCCCUCGCGGCAGGGGAGACGCACCCACAGCAAUGUCAGGAGGAGGCCGGAUGACGCCACCCCAAGCGGCCACCUCCUUCGGCAGCGGAAGGCAGUCUUGGCUUCUUCCUCCGUAGGUGAUUUUUCUAAGGCCAAUAAAUGAACUGAAAAUAUGGAUGCCUGGAACUCGGUCCUUUACUGUUUGGAUCUAACACAACAGCCACCAGAGGGUUAAAGACACACAGGUGGAGAGAGUUGAUGUGGUGGAGAAAUGCCUUUCCAUAUUUUUAAGUGCAAUAUUAACUCACGUCGGAUAUAACAAGUAACAGUGCAAUGAAAUGAAGUCAGGAACAGCAACGCCAUUAAGAAAACGUGCCAUUAGGGAGAGGCCGCGUGUUUCCUAUGGAAGAGAUGCACCAGGAAUGACGGGAUGCAGGCUGAUGUCUGGACAGAAAUUCGCAGAACCCUUCACAGCUGAGGGGGUGUUAAGCUCCAUAAGGUCUGACCCAAGGCCAUCCAGCCAGGUGUGUUUCAGGUUCCUGAGGCCGGUCAGCCCCGCGCUUGUAAGUGACAGUGCCCGAGCCGACAACCCGAGGGCCACUACCCACGUUUGCCAUCGACGUGUUUUAUGUUCCAUCGUGCCCGAGGCACAGUUUCCCGUGGGUCUACUGUCCUUCCCGAGCAGUGCGCCCCCGAGGCCUGGUUCCUGUGGCCUCACAUAG